Long non-coding RNA from Artibeus jamaicensis (Jamaican fruit-eating bat), 1104 nucleotides. RefSeq lists it as uncharacterized. The record is from RefSeq and is a predicted model, not a curated record. NCBI's taxonomy places the organism in Eukaryota, Metazoa, Chordata, Mammalia, Chiroptera, Phyllostomidae. The transcript has 4 exons.
AGGCUACAGACUUAGAAUUUCAGCUGCAGUGCAGUCAGGAGCGGGGAAAGGAAAACAGGGUAAAUGUCCAGAAGUCAGUAAUGCUGUGGUGCCAUCUCACCUGGCAUUUUUCUAACUGCACGUGGGGGUAGGUGUUUCUAUCUAGCUCUUCGCUGAAGACCAUUUUCUGCACUGUUAAAUAUUUGAGACAGUGAAUAUAAAAAAUCCCAGCUGCAGUGCAGCCAGAGGAGAGAAUUUGGAGCAGAUGAGAUUGGGGUUUGCAUGAAGAACGUCAAAGCGGAUGUAAAGAUUGAGUAGAAGAUCCAACCCUGCUGGAAGAGUAAUGCUCUGCCCAAUGAAAUCUGAGUGGGAGAGAGGUGUCAUUUUGGAGCAGAAUCUUUACAAGCCAUUGUGUGUUUCUGCCAAGCUGCCACGUUUCCAAUACCACAAGGCCAGCCAGCCUGCCAGAGCUCACCAUCCACUGCUGUGAAAACAAGAAACCCUCACUAUCUUCCGCGAUCUUUGAAAGAUCUAGCGGAGUAACACACAACACGAGUCACCCGACGUGCAGCAGCAGUGUGUGCAGCACACACAAAGGCCUGGCCAACUUUCCAGAGAGAAGGCAUCCAUACUGAACUUCGCAGAAACUUGUGGCAGAUACCAACACGACAGCAGGCUAAGGAACACCACACUGGAGGCUGCACUGCAGAAAUGGCAACCCAGAAGCCAGCACAGUAAGUGGAUUCAUGUGGCUGCCACCUCUCCAGCUGUCUCUCCAGCUCCCAUCUUAACUCAUCGAUGUCUUUCACGAAGGGCUGAGAAGAGGAAGAAACCACAGCUGAGAGGCAGCCCAGACUGGAACCGCCAACUCACCUUCCGGCCACCUUCUCCCUGCAGUGUGAACUCCAAGCACGUACCUCUGAGGUACCGACCUUAAGUACAGUAAAAAGAUGCCACAUAACCAUUCUUCCCCUGCUUUCCAUUUGUUGAGACAAGAUGGAUAAAGAGAAUUUAUUGGGGUGAUAUUGGUUAAUAAAAUUAUAUAGGUUUUAAAUAUACAGUUCUAUAAUACAUCAUCUGGAUAUUGUGUGAAAAAAGGAAAUUUUAACAUAAAUCCUAGCAAAA